This 22-nucleotide microRNA is filed under the name Blattella germanica (German cockroach). RNAcentral's name for it is "Bge-Novel-11_5p (mature (guide))". Lineage: Eukaryota; Metazoa; Arthropoda; Insecta; Blattodea; Blattellidae. The record is from RNAcentral.
UGGUCAUGACUUCAGCAAUUUU